CUGCUGCCUUCCGUAGGAGUCUGGGCCGUGUCUCAGUCCCAAUGUGGCCGGCCAACCUCUCAGUCCGGCUACUGAUCGUCGCCUUGGUGGGCCGUUACCCCGCCAACUAGCUAAUCAGACGCGAGUCCAUCUCAGAGCGAUAAAUCUUUGGCAGUCAGAGCCAUGCGACCCAACUGCAUUAUGCGGUAUUAGCAGCUGUUUCCAGCUGUUAUUCCCCACUCCAAGGCAGGUUACU
This 235-nucleotide ribosomal RNA is filed under the name uncultured bacterium. RNAcentral describes it as "partial 16S ribosomal RNA". The record is from RNAcentral.